This 191-nucleotide ribosomal RNA is filed under the name uncultured bacterium. RNAcentral's name for it is "partial 16S ribosomal RNA". It matches the Rfam family "Bacterial small subunit ribosomal RNA", at positions 335 to 524 of the family's 1533-position model. The record is from RNAcentral.
ACUCCUACGGGAGGCAGCAGUAGGGAAUAUUGGACAAUGGGGGGAACCCUGAUCCAGCCAUGCCGCGUGAGGGAAGAAGGUCCUCUGGAUUGUAAACCUCUUUUGGCGGGGGACAAACCUGCACUAUACGUGCAGCUGAGGGUACCCGCAGAAUAAGCACCGGCUAACUCCGUGCCAGCAGCCGCGGUAAU